GGAGGAGGAGCUCCGAGCGUGCUCUCUCCCGGCAGUGGCUGAGCGUCUCAGCGCUUGUCGGGUCCCCACCCCUUUUAAAUAAGCCGGGCUGGUCGCCGCCUUCACAGCCUAGUUGACUCCGGGGAGGCGGCGGCGGCGAGACAGCGGGGGUGCGGCCGGGCCCGGAGCCCUGCCCCGGGCCCGGCGGCGUGGCGGACAGGAGAGAGGCAGGCGAGGCCGCGUCUACCUGUGCGGCGCAGCCCCGGCAUAGCCCGGGUCUGCCGGUGCCCGCCGCUCCAUUGUUGGGGGAGGGGGCGGUCUCUGAGCUUGGCGGAGUCCGGGGCCGAGCGGAGGCGACGGCGGCGAGGAGCGGAGGCGCCCCAUGGGGAACACGUUGAGUUGUUGAGUGUGCCUCAAUGCCAACCGGCGCGUGGGGCCUGCGCCAGACUCCGAGUCUGAGGUCUCCGAGGCGGCGGCCGGAGACCCGGUGGCCGCAGCACCGGCGCCGGCUGCCGUGGAACCCACCGAGUUGGAUUUCCGAGCGGGUGAAGGCCACCACCUGCAGCACAUCACGACCGGGAGAUGCCCGAAGACUUAGCUUUGGAAUCAAACCCUUCUGACCACCCAAGGGCAAGCACAAUUUUCCUGAGCAAAUCUCAAACGGACGGUAUCUCCAGGGCAACUUACUAAAAAGUGUAGCUCAUGCCCAGCCAUAUUUCUAGAUGACAGCACAGUCAGCCAGCCUACUCUUAGAACCACAAUAAAAUGUGAGAUCUUAGAAAUAUAUUACCACAUAAAGAACAG
Molecule: long non-coding RNA, 783 nt
Organism: Cervus elaphus (red deer)
Lineage: Eukaryota; Metazoa; Chordata; Mammalia; Artiodactyla; Cervidae
Exons: 4
Source: RefSeq, a predicted model, not a curated record